CCCUUAGAUGUUCUGGGCUGCACGCGCGCUACACUGACACACGCAACGAGUCUCCUGCCCUGACAGGGUCGGGUAAUCAUUUGAGUGUGUAUCGUGAUGGGGAUAGAGUAUUGCAAUUAUUGCUCUUGAACGAGGAAUUCCUAGUAAGCACAAGUCAGCAGCUUGUGCUGAUUACGUCCCUGCCCUUUGUACACACCGCCCGUCGCUCCUACCGAGGGGGUGAUCCGGUGAAUGAUUCGGACUCUGGUGCUUCUAGCUGCUAGAUGCGCCGGAGGAAGUUUUGUGAACCUUAUCACUUGGAGGAAGGAGAAGUCGUAACA
RNAcentral lists this ribosomal RNA (320 nucleotides) under uncultured eukaryote. RNAcentral's name for it is "partial 18S ribosomal RNA". It matches the Rfam family "Eukaryotic small subunit ribosomal RNA", at positions 1470 to 1796 of the family's 1831-position model. The record is from RNAcentral.